AUUAUAAAGUUUUAUAUGAUAGCUCUCUCUUUCUUGCGCCCUCUCUCUCUCUCGUAGCUUACAUCUCUCUCGUAAUCAAAAGCAAAUUACCGAAGAGCAAAAAGCGAAGAGCUAUAUUGCUGAGUUCUGGAGUUUAUUCGUUCAGUAUUAUUGCUGAAUUCUUAGGGUUUUGUAGAAUCUCACUCACUCCCUUUCUCUUUCUAACUCACUCUCUCAGUGUCUUCAACAUGAGCAAAUUAGACUAGCGUCCAGAUCUGAAGAAAGGCUCCUUUGGGAAGCUUGGCAAGAUUUAAACCUUAUCAUCUUGAUCAUAGUUGUUGUAUUGUCAUUGGCACUUGGAAUUAAAACAGAGGUUGUUCUUGAUGCACACAAUGGUGUAAUAUCUAUAAUGAAACUUGGAGCAAAUUGGGUAGAUAUGCACUUGUUAGAGUGGAUGUAUGUGUUUUAUGGAGUAAGGAAAAUAUGGGAGGAGGGAUGGGGUGUCCUCUAUGGGGAAGUACAUGAAGAAAGGAUGCAUCAUCUUUUUUUCAAUGAUACUAGCUUUUGUCAUGGGCCUGGCCUUCUUUGUUGGGAAGUGGCACUUCUCCAUAUAUCUGAUAGUUGAGGAUAAUUGAUGGAGCACAAUGGGUUUCAAUUUUUUUUUUCUUUUAAUUAGCCAUUUUGAAAACUUGGAACUAUUUGAAUACUUGAAAAUUAGAUUGGUGCUUUAGUUUUUAUAUGAGAAUGGAGUUUAAUUUGAAACUGCACAA
Molecule: long non-coding RNA, 749 nt
Organism: Quercus robur (English oak)
Lineage: Eukaryota; Viridiplantae; Streptophyta; Magnoliopsida; Fagales; Fagaceae
Exons: 3
Source: RefSeq, a predicted model, not a curated record